UACGAAGGGGGCUAGCGUUGCUCGGAAUCACUGGGCGUAAAGGGUGCGUAGGCGGGUCUUUAAGUCAGGGGUGAAAUCCUGGAGCUCAACUCCAGAACUGCCUUUGAUACUGAAGAUCUUGAGUUCGGGAGAGGUGAGUGGAACUGCGAGUGUAGAGGGUGAAAUUCGUAGAUAUUCGCAAGAACACCAGUGGCGAAGGCGGCUCACUGGCCCGAUACUGACGCUGAGGCACGAAAGCGUGGGGAGCAAACAGG
Molecule: ribosomal RNA, 254 nt
Filed under: uncultured bacterium
Lineage: Bacteria
Description: partial 16S ribosomal RNA
Rfam family: Bacterial small subunit ribosomal RNA
Source: RNAcentral